GCAGGGGUGGCGGAGCCUGGUCAAACGCGACGGGUUCAGGGCCCGUUUCCCUUAGGGGAUGCGAGAGUUCAAAUCUCUCCCCCUGCA
RNAcentral lists this transfer RNA (87 nucleotides) under Candidatus Micrarchaeum sp. RNAcentral's name for it is "tRNA-Leu". It matches the Rfam family "tRNA". Rfam says of the family: Transfer RNA (tRNA) molecules are approximately 80 nucleotides in length. The record is from RNAcentral. Lineage: Archaea; Nanobdellati; Microcaldota; Candidatus Micrarchaeia; Candidatus Micrarchaeales; Candidatus Micrarchaeaceae.